AAAGCUGACAUAAAAUGGUUUGCUAAGCUAUUAAUUGAAGCCUACUAACCGACACUUUCAGAAGACUUCGUUCCAGUUUUUUCAGUUUCCCUGUAGGUAAUCCAGACAGGCUGGGUGCUGGAGAGGGCUCUGGACUCCUAACUUCAAUUCUCGUCUGUGCAGUCGACACUCAGAAGCAUCACUUCAGCACUGAUUCCAUGAUCUGGAACAUUUUGAAAUCCUA
Alosa alosa (allis shad) is the source of this 223-nucleotide long non-coding RNA. RefSeq lists it as uncharacterized. NCBI's taxonomy places the organism in Eukaryota, Metazoa, Chordata, Actinopteri, Clupeiformes, Clupeidae. The record is from RefSeq and is a predicted model, not a curated record. The transcript has 3 exons.